AUGGAAUUUGACUCUUCUGAUGAAGAUUACUCAUAUGAUGAAGAUCAAGAGGGGAACAUGGUUAGGAGGAAGAGCAGAUACCCAAGAUUUAACUCUGAAACUGAUAUCCCACAUUUCAGUUUAGGGAUGGUUUUCAGGAGCAAAAAUCAGUUUCUAAAAGCUGUUAAGAGAUAUGGUCUUGCUACAAAAAGAAGCAUCAGAUUUGUGAAGUCUGAGGAGAAUAGGGUUAGAGCCAAAUGUGCAUGGCCUGGCUGUCCAUGGCUUGUGUAUAGAGCAAAAACAAGCAGGUGCUCAAGGUUCCAAAUAAUAACAUAUGAGGAAGAGCAUCACUGUGCACAAAACAGAGAAAACAGGCUUGUUUCUGCAAAGGUCAUAGCAGAAAAAUAUCAGCAUUUCAUUCUGGCCAAUCCUAUG
RNAcentral lists this ribosomal RNA (414 nucleotides) under Triticum aestivum (bread wheat). RNAcentral describes it as "partial small subunit ribosomal RNA". Lineage: Eukaryota; Viridiplantae; Streptophyta; Magnoliopsida; Poales; Poaceae. The record is from RNAcentral.